CUGUGUGCUGGAUUCGCCCUUAGAGUUUGAUCCUGGCUCAGGACGAACGCUGGCGGCGUGCUUAACACAUGCAAGUCGAACGAUGAACCACUUCGGUGGGGAUUAGUGGCGAACGGGUGAGUAACACGUGGGCAAUCUGCCCUUCACUCUGGGACAAGCCCUGGAAACGGGGUCUAAUACCGGAUACGACACUCUCGGGCAUCCGAUGAGUGUGGAAAGCUCCGGCGGUGAAGGAUGAGCCCGCGGCCUAUCAGCUUGUUGGUGAGGUAACGGCUCACCAAGGCGACGACGGGUAGCCGGCCUGAGAGGGCGACCGGCCACACUGGGACUGAGACACGGCCCAGACUCCUACGGGAGGCAGCAGUGGGGAAUAUUGCACAAUGGGCGAAAGCCUGAUGCAGCGACGCCGCGUGAGGGAUGACGGCCUUCGGGUUGUAAACCUCUUUCAGCAGGGAAGAAGCGAAAGUGACGGUACCUGCAGAAGAAGCGCCGGCUAACUACGUGCCAGCAGCCGCGGUAAUACGUAGGGCGCGAGCGUUGUCCGGAAUUAUUGGGCGUAAAGAGCUCGUAGGCGGUCUGUCGCGUCGGAUGUGAAAGCCCGGGGCUUAACCCCGGGUCUGCAUUCGAUACGGGCAGACUAGAGUGUGGUAGGGGAGAUCGGAAUUCCUGGUGUAGCGGUGAAAUGCGCAGAUAUCAGGAGGAACACCGGUGGCGAAGGCGGAUCCCUGGGCCAUUACUGACGCUGAGGAGCGAAAGCGUGGGGAGCGAACAGGAUUAGAUACCCUGGUAGUCCACGCCGUAAACGGUGGGAACUAGGUGUUGGCGACAUUCCACGUCGUCGGUGCCGCAGCUAACGCAUUAAGUUCCCCGCCUGGGGAGUACGGCCGCAAGGCUAAAACUCAAAGGAAUUGACGGA
RNAcentral lists this ribosomal RNA (916 nucleotides) under uncultured bacterium. Its description in RNAcentral is "bacterial SSU rRNA". It matches the Rfam family "Bacterial small subunit ribosomal RNA", at positions 1 to 917 of the family's 1533-position model. The record is from RNAcentral.